GAUGAACGCUGGCGGCGUGCUUAACACAUGCAAGUCGAACGAUGAAGCCCAGCUUGCUGGGUGGAUUAGUGGCGAACGGGUGAGUAACACGUGAGUAACCUGCCCUUGACUCUGGGAUAAGCCUGGGAAAACUGGGUCUAAUACUGGAUAUGACUUCUCAUCGCAUGGUGGGGGUGGAAGGAUUUAUUGGUCUUGGAUGGACUCGCGGCCUAUCAGCUUGUUGGUGAGGUAAUGGCUCACCAAGGCGACGACGGGUAGCCGGCCUGAGAGGGUGACCGGCCACACUGGGACUGAGACACGGCCCAGACUCCUACGGGAGGCAGCAGUGGGGAAUAUUGCACAAUGGGCGCAAGCCUGAUGCAGCGACGCCGCGUGAGGGAUGACGGCCUUCGGGUUGUAAACCUCUUUCAGUAGGGAAGAAGCGAGAGUGACGGUACCUGCAGAAGAAGCGCCGGCUAACUACGUG
This 466-nucleotide ribosomal RNA is filed under the name uncultured bacterium. RNAcentral's name for it is "bacterial SSU rRNA". It matches the Rfam family "Bacterial small subunit ribosomal RNA", at positions 28 to 507 of the family's 1533-position model. The record is from RNAcentral.